GAUGAACGCUGGCGGCGUGCCUAAUACAUGCAAGUCGAGCGAACAGACGAGGAGCUUGCUCCUCUGACGUUAGCGGCGGACGGGUGAGUAACACGUGGAUAACCUACCUAUAAGACUGUGAUAACUUCGGGAAACCGGAGCUAAUACCGGAUAAUAUAUUGAACCGCAUGGUUCAAUAGUGAAAGACGGUUUUGCUGUCACUUAUAGAUGGAUCCGCGCCGCAUUAGCUAGUUGGUAAGGUAACGGCUUACCAAGGCGACGAUGCGUAGCCGACCUGAGAGGGUGAUCGGCCACACUGGAAGUGGGACACGGUCCAGACUCCUACGGGAGGCAGCAGUAGGGAAUCUUCCGCAAAGGGCGAAAGCCUGACGGAGCAACGCCGCGUGAGUGAUGAAGGUCUUCGGAUCGUAAAACUCUGUUAUUAGGGAAGAACAAAUGUGUAAGUAACUAUGCACGUCUUGACGGUACCUAGUCAGAAAGCCACGGCUAACUACGUG
RNAcentral lists this ribosomal RNA (497 nucleotides) under uncultured bacterium. RNAcentral describes it as "partial 16S ribosomal RNA". It matches the Rfam family "Bacterial small subunit ribosomal RNA", at positions 28 to 507 of the family's 1533-position model. The record is from RNAcentral.